Molecule: ribosomal RNA, 381 nt
Filed under: uncultured bacterium
Lineage: Bacteria
Description: bacterial SSU rRNA
Rfam family: Bacterial small subunit ribosomal RNA
Source: RNAcentral
UCAGCAGCCGCGGUAAUACGUAGAGGGCGAGCGUUGUCCGGAAUUACUGGGCGUAAAGGGUACGCAGGCGGAUAUAUAAGUCAAAUGUGAAAACCAACGGCUCAACCGUUGAGUUGCAUUUGAAACUGUAUAUCUUGAGUGCAGGAGAMGAGAGCGGAAUUCCUGGUGUAGCGGUGGAAUGCGUAGAUAUCAGGAAGAACACCAGUGGCGAAGGCGGCUCUCUGGCCUGCAACUGACGCUGAGGUACGAAAGCUGGGGGAGCGAACGGGAUUAGAUACCCCGGUAGUCCCAGCCGUAAACGAUGGACACUAGGUGUUGGGGGUUCGAAUCCUUCAGUGCCGGAGUUAACGCGAUAAGUGUCCGCCUGGGGAAUACGGUCGC